AAACCAUGAUAGGGGCACUGCCUUUGUAAAUCCUUGAAUUUCUUUUAAGUUUUAUAUAAAGACUCAUCAUCCCUUUGGUAAAAAGUAGCGAUCUCAUUUCUCAAUUU
Small nucleolar RNA from Mangifera indica (mango), 107 nucleotides. The record is from RefSeq and is a predicted model, not a curated record. Lineage: Eukaryota; Viridiplantae; Streptophyta; Magnoliopsida; Sapindales; Anacardiaceae.